AUAGGAAAGUUAUUGGAUGACUUAAGAGGACCACAGAAAUAUUUCGAUUUAAGCAAAAAAUAAAAUUUUUGGCACUAGAUGUUAGAUUUGAAAUGAUGAGUCAUUGUUUAUUAUUGAUGGCUGUCUGAUCCUCCUUUCCUUUUGGAUAUGGAUGAACACUGACACUUGGUACAAAUUCCCUGUGAUUUGUGGAAUCUCAUAUUCACAAAGUGGUUACCAUGAUCUUUCUAGAAUUUUGAUGUGUAAGGUACUGACGGCCAUGUACAGCUGCAACUGUAACUUGCUUGUUAACAUCACAUGAGCAUAAAGGGUGUCAGCUGGGCACAGGUGUUUUACUACUAACAGUUUUUUUUUCUUGAAAUGUCUUUCUCUGUUACCUCUACUGAUAAACUGAUAACAAAGUAAGUUUCUUCACUCUGUUCUCUUACCUGAAAAUAUAUCUCUUUGUGAACUUUGUGCCUUUUGGUAAAACUCUCAGUGCACAAAAGGAACAGGGUUUCUUUUUGGAUGUCACAGUCUACAAGUGGGAGCUACCCUUCUACUGCUACAAUGAGACGAAAUCUUUUUUUUUUUUAACUGUGCCAUUUUAUUGGCAACACUAAACAUUUUCAGAAGGCCUCUGUUGUUUUCUCUUGUUCUCUAAGAACUUUUUUUUCCCCAAGUGGAGGAUGAUUGUUUCAUUCUUUUUAAGAUUUUGAUUAUUUUAUUCUUGAUUUCCUUUCAUGCAAAACAGCAUCUUUCAGUGGCCGCUAAGAGCACACUCUGUUUUCUUUGUGGAAAGAAUGCAAAGGAUGAGUGAACGUUGGGUUCAAUGGGGUCUUGAACACAGCUUGGCUCCCAGCAGGUCUACACAUUCUGAUGACUACAAAUGGGUACAUUUUGGGUUUCUGUGAUGUUUCAAAAAUACAAUUAUAUAAUUAUAUGAUGUGAAACUCUUUAAGAAUUCAACUAAUAGGGCUUCCCUGGUGGUGCCGUGGUUAAGAAUCCACCUGCCAAUGCAGGGGACACGGGUUUGAGCCCUGGUCCAGGAAGAUCCCGCAUGCUGCAGAGCAACUAAGCCUGUGCACCACGACUACUGAGCCUGCAUGACUAGAGCCUGUGCUCCACAAGAGAAGCCACUGCAAUGGGAAGCCCACAUACUGCAACAAAGAGUAGCCCCCACUUGCCGCAACUAGAGAAAGCCCGCAUGCAGCAACGAAGACCCAACACAGCCAAAAAUAAAUAAAUAAUUUAAAGAAAGAAUUCAACUAUAAAAGCUGUAAUCAGUUAACCUCUGCUUGGGGCUGCUAUAGCCAAUAGUAUAAUGUGACAGGUAAUUAGCUAAAUAGAGAUAAUUUUUCCACAUGAUGUUUAAUUUGCAGUAUUUCCCCCCAUAACUUUAACAAAUAGACAUUUUCCAAGUAAAGCGCACUUUAUUUGGGUCCAUGUUGCUAGACCUCCGUCAAGUCUAGAGAGCGCCUUCCUGGUUCCUUCAGUUAUCAUUGCCUUCCUAGCAUAGUAGCAAAAUGAAUUUCACCUGCAAAUGGUGUUUUUUUUUCAAAGUAAUGAUUUUUCUAAAUAGAGUACAGUUAUCUUCCAGAGAUGUAAAAGAGUGACCAUAUAAUUACCGUUUCACUCUGUGAUACGUCUAAAACAUGGAUACCAAUAGCGUGCUGUUACUCUGGAGGAAGUAAUAGGUUAGAAAGACAGUUGAGUGUUUUACUCAAGCUGUGAGUGAAUAGAGAGAGAUAGGAGAUGCUAUUCAACUCACAGUCCCACGUAUUAGUGCUCUGUGUAAGAUGCACAUUUAUUAUCUUAUUGACACAGACUGAAAGAGAUAUCAGAGUAAUGUAUCAUGGUUAUACAGGCACAGCCUGUCCCUACCUAUUACCUGAAAACCCAGUUCUAAGAAAUGAUUCAUGGUUAUUAUCUGCUAGGAGGGCGAACAAAAGUUGAGUAUGACAUCUUUAUUUCAUCGGAGACAUUACAUCUCUAUGAGACUUAUGUAUAGCCCUAGAUAUUUUCAAGCUAUAGGAGGAAAAAGAAAUUAAAAAAAAAUUUCUGAAAGAUAGUUUUAAGUAAACGUUUUGUAUUUUGAACUGUUUGUGCCAUGCAUAUAGCAUUGACUAUAUACAGGUAAAAUAUUCUACUUUUUCAUAAAGAAAAGUUUUUUCCUCUUUUAUAAAAAUCAUAGCUUAUACUUUAAAAUGUAUUUUUGAGAUUGAAUUUGGAAAUUUAUUAAUAUGUGUAAUUACAAAUUAUAUUUUGAUACAUUGUUUAAAAAUGUAAUAUUUACUGUAUUUCUACUUAUAAUGUAUACAUCUUCAUGUAUUGAUCAAAAUAAAUUAUUUGUAAAGCUAUCAUAACUUUAUAUUUCUUAUAUUUAAAAUAGAACUCCUCAAAUAAAAUAUCGUUUUCAUGG
Molecule: long non-coding RNA, 2401 nt
Organism: Phocoena sinus (vaquita)
Lineage: Eukaryota; Metazoa; Chordata; Mammalia; Artiodactyla; Phocoenidae
Source: Ensembl